UCAGUAUUGGUUCAGCACCACGGACAGUUACAAUAGUACCAGAGCAACAGAAAGGCUUUCAAUAAAACAGGGUUUUAUUCUUUGAUUUUAAAGAACUAUUUCCAUGUAUUUCCAUAAUAUGUGUUUGUUUGUGUGUGUGGGUGUGUGUGUGUGUGUUUAAAAGUUGUUAUAAGCAAAUGAAAUGGAAAGAUUACAAGAAUGUAUAAUUUUACAGCACAUUAUUCUUAUGGGUUUGCAGCUGCCAUUAUAUAUAAUGUUGAGGAUGAUGGUUAUUACUGUAUAAUCUGAGUACAACAUCAUAAUUGACAUCGAAUGGGCAAGCUUAAAUAAGCAAUGCUUCUGUUUGCUCCCUUUCAAACAUGAUUGCAUUGUAUUGUCACUUUGUUAUUAAUGUCAUUGUCUGACCUAUCAUGUGAGACUGAUUGUGCUGGUCUUUUACAAAUGUUUGUAAUAAAAUGAAAAUAAAAAAAAUUAAACAUUCAACGCACAUUUAUAAUUCAUAAAUGUGCUUGUAAAUAUCUCUGUUGAACAGUAUGAGAAAUCGUUAACAGUUGAAUAACAUUAAACAUGUUUUACUGAAAACAUAUAAACAAAUCGCUUUGGGGUAAUGCUUUUUGAAGAGUUUAAAGACUCUAAAGUAGAUAAAGUCAUUUUCAAAAUUGGAAUAUUUAAAUUCCCAUACCAAUCAUCUUUUGAUCUAGUGUUCCCAAAGAUCUUUUAAUUAUCAUUGUGGAGUUAUUGGUCAAUAUAAGAAUAAUAACAAAAAGAGUGUCAUUUUCAUCAGACAUAGAGAGUAGUGGUAGCUCAUUAGAAAUUCACCUCUGAGUUGUUGGCUAGAAUGUUGGCUGGAAAAAACCUGGCCCCUUCCCAUCAUCCAUCUGUUUAAACUCUCUACCACUAGCUAACAGGCUCUUACAGCUUCAAUCUAAUAAACCUGUGCAAUAAAAAUGGCGUGCAAUAUCGGAGCUAUACAGCCGUACAGUUUUAAACCUGAUGCCAGCUCAGACAAAGAAAACAAAGACACUCAUGGAAUUUUUUUCAAGCCUUCUGUUUUGCCUGAAAGUUUAGCUUUUUGAUGGAUGACUUGGUAAAAUGUUAAGCAGCCCACAUACGCAAAAGUAAAUUAAGUGAAUUUUUAAAUUUAAAAGUCGGGAAAUUUAAAUGUACAGGAAAUUAGUUCAGUAUAAAUUUUCUCAUAAAACAGACUUUCAGAAAGAGGUGCAGUGGAGAAAAAAAAACCCUAACAUACAUAAAUGUUGUCAUGGUAAAGAUUAAGCAGAUCACUUCAUCAAGAGUGAAGAAAAAGCACAGAUGCAGCUUCUGCAUCAUUUAAAUGCCCCACUCUGCACGACUGUUCAACUCGUAUUUGUCUGAUCCUCGCUCAUUAUGCAAAUCAGGGAGUAGGCGUAGUUUGUCCUCAAAAGUGCGAUCUGACGUCACGGUAAUGAGUGACACUUGUUGGGGUGGAAUUGCGGAGGCUUACGAAAAAAGAAGAAAAAAAUUAGAGAACAUAAAGCCAUAAACCAUAAGAGAAAAUAAAUAAGGCUGAUUCCAAAACAAGACAGCUUAUAGGCUGCAGAAGGAGUAGAAGAGGGGAGGGAGAAGAAUCAGAGGAGGAGUAGGGAGUCAGGAGCGUAUAAGGGAUGGGGAGGGGGGGCACCGUGGUACUGUGCAGUUGACUAUAGAGAGAUAGGAGGAAUAGAGAGAGGGAGAGAGAGAGAGCAGCCCGCCGGCCCAUUGAGGAAAGAUGGCUACAGUCACUGCAAACGGAGUGCAGCAAGAGAAUGGAUUCAGCACCACGAACAGCGCCGGCAGGAUGAACGGGCUCACCAUCGGCCAGAACACCAUUCCAAUGAAGGACCACGACGCCAUCAAGCUUUUCAUCGGGCAGAUUCCCAGAAACCUGGAGGAAAAAGACCUGAAACCCCUGUUUGAGGAAUUCGGAAAGAUAUACGAACUCACCGUGCUGAAAGACAGGUUCACGGGGAUGCAUAAAGGAUGUGCCUUUCUAACAUACUGUGCCAGAGAGUCAGCACUGAAGGCCCAGAGCGCCCUGCAUGAACAGAAGACUCUGCCAGGGAUGAACCGGCCAAUCCAGGUGAAACCAGCCGACAGCGAAGGACGGGGAGAAGACAGGAAGCUGUUUGUUGGGAUGCUCGGCAAGCAGCAGAGCGAGGACGACGUGCGGCGGCUGUUUGAGACCUUCGGCCAGAUCGAGGAGUGCACCGUCCUUCGAGGGCCUGAUGGGGCCAGUAAGGGCUGUGCCUUUGUCAAGUUUUCCAGUCAUGCAGAAGCGCAAGCUGCAAUUAACAGCUUGCAUGGAGGACAAACUAUGCCUGGUGCCUCGUCUAGCCUGGUGGUCAAAUUUGCAGACACUGAUAAGGAGAGGACCCUGCGCAGGAUGCACCAGAUGGCAGGCCAGCUCGGUAUCUUCAGUCCCAUGACCAUCCAGUUUGGGGCCUAUGGCACCUAUUCUCAUGCUGUAAGUCUCAGCCCGGCGGGGGAGGAGACGCAGAUGAUGCAACAGCAAGCAGCCCUGAUGGCAGCAACACAAGGGUCCUACCUGAACCCCAUGGCAGCCAUUGCUGCCGCACAAAUGCAGCAAAUGGCAGCUUUCAAUGUCAACGGUCUGGUGGCUACUCCCAUGACACCGUCCUCAGGCACCAGCACACCCCCAGGCAUCUCUGCCACUGCCGUGCCCAGCAUAGCCACUCCUAUUGGGGUCAAUGGAUUCAGUGCCCUCCCACCUCAGACCAAUGGGCAGCCUACAUCUGAGCCCAUCUACACCAAUGGCAUUCAUCCUUACCCAGCACAGAGUCCAACGGUGACUGACCCUCUUCAGCAGGCUUAUGCUGGUGUCCAGCACUACGCAGCAGCCUACCCUGCCGCCUAUGCGCCAAUCAGCCAAGCGUUCCCCCAGCAACCAACCAUCAUUCCCCAGCAACAGAGGGAAGGGCCAGAAGGUUGCAACCUGUUUAUUUACCACCUGCCCCAGGAAUUUGGAGACGCUGAGCUCAUGCAAAUGUUCCUACCUUUUGGCAACGUCAUCUCAGCCAAAGUCUUUGUGGACAGAGCAACCAAUCAGAGCAAAUGUUUUGGCUUUGUAAGUUUUGAUAACCCAUCCAGUGCUCAAGCCGCUAUCCAGGCGAUGAAUGGCUUUCAGAUAGGCAUGAAGAGGCUGAAGGUGCAGCUAAAGCGGCCAAAGGAUGCCAACCGACCUUAUUGACUCGUCUGCUAUCCGUACCCAGUGUGAGGUGGCCUUUCUCCGCUAUAGCCACACACACCCCGACAACUGUCACGGGGCCAAGUUCCCACAGCUGAUGAAGGGCCACAACACCUUAUUUCCACAAGUGCAGUAAAAGUACAAAGACUUCUUGUUCUGCUACAUAUCAUGAAGGAAGGGUGGUCCCUUGAUCCUCCUGGAAAGCCGCAGAAAGAUUGGGUGACUGAAAGAUGGAUCCCAGAGUUGAUUUAUUUUUCUUUUUUUUUUUAAAUACUACGUUUUUUUUUUUCUUUCUUUGCAAAAGCCUCUUUUUUCCUGGUUUGCUUUGGCGUAUGUGGAAGAAGAUUUUUUGCAGAGACCAACUUUUUGCUGCUGUUUUUUAGACAUAAUGGGGAAAAGAAACCUUUAUAGACUCAUUAUGCUCAAAGCAUGCAUACUGACAACCAAUAUAGAUAAACAACCAGAAAAUAAACCAAACAUAGACAGUUAAACAAAACACUGGACUAGAAAAAAAAAAAAAGAACUUUGUACAUGUAUAAAUACGUGCAAAUGCCAACACAAGAACUUAAUCAAGGUCAUGCGUGUGCACACACUAAUACACACCAACACACACACCAGCCUGCUGCCAUUUUGGUUUUUGUGCCUACACAGGUGUUGUGCUCUGUGACAGGGCAAGCUCUGGAUCAAAGAAGAAAACAAGACGAAGAAGAGACAAGUGGAGAAUCCAGGAUAAUUUACAUGCAUCAUUCCUUAGGAAAUAGGGACCAAAGGACUAAACGCUUUUUAAAAGAUUAUAAAUAUAUAAAUAUAUAAAUAUAUAUUUAAAACUCAUACCUUGUAGCUGCAAGUAUUACAAUUUACUUAUAGGGGAAAAAAAUCAUUAAAUCAAUAUCCAGUGGCCUAUUGUAAGUAUAAGUUACAGAAAAUGGAAAUAUUGUAUUAAAAAAAAUGAAGUGGAAUUGUAGUGUAGGGGCUGAUCUUUUGCUCUGGAUGCUGAUUUAGCAGCAAGUUGUAGAAUAGUGUAGUAGUUAAGAAAAAAAAAAAGUAGAUUUGCUAACUUUUGCUGUCGUUUAAAAAAAAAUACUUGAAGUCGUUAAGAAAAAGGGGUGGAAUGAAGAGGUGAAGGAAGACGCUCAAUAUCUCUUUGUGUGGAGCAACUCUCUUUCUCUUGGAUGUAAAGGUAUCAGCCACUGGAUAUCUCACUCAUAAUGAUGUACAAGUUACCACACUCUGAGAGCUACAAAGAGACUGUUCUGAAAGACAAAAAAAGGAGAGAUGAAAAAAAAGACUGAAGUUACAGAUGUCUGUGCUGGACGAAGUACAGAUGUUUAAGGCUUCUCGCUAGCCUUUGUGUUCAUGCGACAAUCCACUGUAAAGACCAAGAAAAUGGACAUUGCUGUCUUUUCCCUUCUUUUUUUUUAUUUAAUCGUAUUUUCUUUUUUUUAUUGAAACCACAACUUGUUAAAAGGAUUUGUUUAAGAGAGAUGGACAACUGUGAAGCAGUGCUACAGCGAGGUGACAGUCACUGAAAGUCCCAACAGAAUGAACCCAAUUUAAUGACGACUUUUGUGUGGUGUUCCUUCAAAAGGAAAAAAAAAUGUGUCAAUCAAGGAGGAUGUGCUGGUGACAUGCCAAGAGUCCUUCAGUCUUCUGGUGAUGCUGCAAAAGUCUGAAAUGAUAAAGUGUUUAUCUUGUCUCUUGGCAGUUAAGAGUAAACCUUUUUUUUUUCUUAAAUAAAGUCAAAUUACCCACAUUGCUGGGAAAGAGGAGCUCAUUUAGCUCUGCCAAAUAUAAUUUAUUCAGACUCCACUGUAAACAACUUCAUUGACCUGCUUUCUUCAUGUACAUAAAGUUUACAGCGGGAAAAAAAAAAGCCUACAACAGGCAAAACCAAAAUUAAUUUCACCUCCCACACAGCUCUCCUGUAGCUUCUCGGACAAAAAAAUCCAUAGCUUGAUUCCGUUUGCCUUUAUUUUGACUGUUUUGGAGCAGGCUCCUCUCGGAAACUAGAUCAAUAUGUUUGGAGUGGGCCUAGAGGGAGGAGCAAAGCUGUUUCAGUCACCAUGAGCACUUCGCAGUGUUCUCAGCAGAACACGGGCUCACAUCCGUACACCAGUCCUCUGAGCACCAGCAGCUGCCAUUAAGAGGCAGGCCAAGGAGGGAAGAAAGGAAGUCAACAGCUUGUCACAUGGAGAUCAUUCUAGGUUGCUGCUGAGUUGUUGCAGAGUACUUUAAAAUAAGAAGCUGGAAUCAGGCCUAUGGUGACAAUAAUUAUAGAUUUGUGCUGUAUGCUUUCAAAAAUAACAUUUAACGGUGAGACUGUGGGAUUAUCUUAGCCAACCACUCAUUCCAAUUCCUAUUUACGACUAUAUUGUUUCAUCACCUUUUUGCUUCAAAUUCAGCCACAUACUAGAUGAGUUUCAAAUCAAAGAUGGACUGAUCAAAUAUGCCAGCAUAUUAUGGAUAUUAAUACACUGCCUUUGUCAUUUAAAAAAAAAAGCUGGAGGUCGUGAUAUCUGUCCAUUAUAUCAGCAUGCCUAUUACCUCCUAUCAUCUUGCAGCCAUGCCUUUGCAAACCACAGCUCAACUGUUCACAUCUCCCCCCAUGGAGCAGCAUUUUAAAGCUUGGCCUAAUGCCUGAGCUUGCUACCCUUCAAUUAUCUCCUGCACCAUAUAAGACAUGCUAUCUCACCUUUCCCUCUAAUCAUACUGUAAUCAUCAGCCUCUAUACAUUAGCAGCAACCAAGUGAAAAAUCACUGGGAUAAUCACUUGGACCAAAUGACGGCAGAGAUGGUCCCCUGUAUGCACAUGGAUAACAGAAGGAAGAUUAGGGAGAAUUAUGUUUGUGCCUACUCCCUGGCAAGAAUGCUGACAGCUGACCUGGCACAGAUAAUACAGCUAAAUUUACCCGAAAAUACACUGGAGGAGUGGAACAAAAGCUUCUGUAUAAUAACAAGGUGUUAAUAUUGCACAGCAGAAUGACAUUACCAGGAGAUAAAAGAGGACGAAGAGCAUAAAAAGUAUUUUGCUUUCAUUUCACUACAAAGGUUGCAGCAGUAGUUGGUCAAAAGUGGGUCGAAAACAGCAGUUUUGCUGAAAAAGGCUCAAUCCUGUCUAAGCACCUGGUGUGAAGCUUGUGUCCUUGUGAUUCUUUUUUCAUCACCAAAACUGUAUCUCAGCAGUACACUACAGAGGUCAAUCCAAUUUUACAACACUAUUUUCUUAAACCUCUUUGCUUGCGUUCUUUCUGCACAACUAUAAAGCAGUUUCUCUUCAUCAGAUAUAAAAUAUGAAAGCACAGCCUUCUAAAUUCAAAGUGAGAUUUUUUUAUUCCUGUUAAUUCAGAGUCCUUGUUUUUCUGUUGGCUAAACUCAUAAAUGCAGAAAGUUGUGUAUCUUUGAUCAAUUCAAACCUACAGCAUCCAAAUUCAUUAUGUCUGUGAUGCUGCAGUUAUAAAUGUGCAAAUUAAUGUUUUAUAAGCAAUCAAGUGUCCUGUUCUUGUCUUGGUGAGCUCUAAAAUACACCCCGUAACAAGAUAACUGAAAGCAUGCUCAACUGAACAUCUCGGCGUUAUAUCACAUUUUGUACUUGUUCCCACUGCUAAUAGCAGGUUCGGUCCCCAGUGAGCCAAAAACCCAGCUUAGCUUAGUAUCCUGCUGCCUGGCUUGGCUAAUAGUGCAGUGCUCAUGUACCAUAUCUGCUAUGCCAGGACUAAUUUAGGCAAUGUGAAAUUAGCACUUCAACACUUUUAACAUGGGCAUUUUUACUGCCUUAACACCCUGGGGAGGAGGUUGCUAAAGAGACGGGCAAAAUAAGCCUCACUGUAAUAUGAUGCAACUGCUGAAAUGAAAAGACAAAGUGAUUUUUAAGGCUUCUCAUUACCCACUUAUUUUAUGGGUUUCUGCAUGCCUUUCCAUUAGUUCAGGUCCACUUUGGUUUUUAGUCCCCAUGGUUUUACCUCUGAGUCCCAAACAUUAACCAGCCAACAGAUCUGUUGCCAAAUGUUUGUUUAUUUGUCCACAGCAUUUUGAAUACAAAACUGUUGUAACAUUUUUUGUGAAGAAUAUGUAAAUAUCUUAUAAUUGUGGGGGAAAAAAACAUCUUCAGCACACUGGGCCAAAUAAUAGUCUGUUGCUGAGCUAAGCAGCUUUGACUGUGGUGAACUAAAAAGUACAUUUGAGUUUAAACUGUUCAUUUUGUUUCUGUGCAAAAAUGACAAAAUCUGCCUUCAGAGUAGUCAUGUUAAAACCACCUCAGACAGUGGGAGCUUGUAUGCAUAUUACACCCAUUUUAAGCUGGCAAUGCACUGCUCACAAGGAUCAUCAUCCAUAGCCGCACAUAUCCUUUGGGGCUCACGGCCAAUUGCAGGACAGAGAAGAGGACUGCUAGAGCAUGGAUUUCAAACCCCCUGGGUGCAUAACAUUCACCCUGAAAUAGGAGUGAUUGUCAAGGAAAGGAAGUGAAAUGUAAUUGACUGAAAGCAGAGCGAUAAUUAAAGGAACCUGUUGGACAGGAGGGACGAAAUUAAUGUCUCUCACUUAAUAGCUGCUUUGUGAGAGAACUUUUUCGUCAUCUCAUUUUGGUGCAGAAAAGAUUUUGCGGUGGAAAUGGGAUUUUUGCGUUCGAGAGGGUGAGUGGCUGAUAAUAGUGGAAAUGGGCACUGGGUGGUGGGGGUGCUGUGUGCUAAACUGAAACUCCACAAAAUCACUCCCAAUACUCAGGGCAUCAGGCAUUAUGAUGUCAUGAUUAGUGGAGAGGUUCAGAGCCUUGCCUUACCCCAGAUCAUGUAAAAGAUCGAGCACACAAAGAGAUGCAAAGCAGGUGUGUAGAAGGGCAAGUGCUGAGCAAACGGAGGUGCUGACAAAUCAUCUAAAAUCACGCUUAUACUAGGAACCAUUACAUAAAAAUUAUGGCAUCCAGCCAACAGGGCACAGUUAAGAAUUGUGGGACCAUGUUUAAAAAAAAACACUGAUAAGAUUAGUGGAGACUUUUUUUAAACGUAUUUCUCAAUGUAAAUAGUCUUUAAUAUGUAAAAAAAAACGGCAAGGUUGUACAGCUCCUGUGUUGGAAAGUUCAGCUCUGUGGGACAAUGAUGUCACUGUAAAUGUAUCCACAGCAGUGCAGGGAUUUAGGAGAGUUUUCAGUCUUUUUAAGCCCCUUAGGUUUGGGCUGUGAACAAGCAUCCUACAACCCCUAAGCGCUGGAGAACAACUUAGAGUAUCUUACUUAAUGUCAGACCUAACCCAUGGCCCCAAAGGGAUCUGUUAAUUAAGAAUCUGUGUCCCUGAACACGUCAUGAGUUUUCUGCAGAAGAUCGCCCGUGUGGUACCUGGAUUACCCCAGUUUGGCUUGAUAAACAGAUUUGACGACAACAGCUCUGCUCGACACUGUGGAAAACCUACCAAAAAGAAGAGAACAAAUUCUUGAAUUGCCUUGAAAGUAUUAACUAAAAGCUAAAAAAGAAGUCCAGGUCUGAAGUUGUUUGGCAUGUACAUAAACCGUUCUGAGGAAAAUGUUGAAACUAUGUACGUGCUUUCAGAGAAAGGGGACAAAUGAGAGAUCAAAAUAUGGAUCCCAGCAGAACCCCUGCUUGCUUGACUCAAUCUCCACCGCUCUCCUGACAACGCAGCUGCAUUAUAUCUGUACAUACAAAAUAGCUUAUUUUUCAAUUCUGUUCACCAUUAUUUAAAACCGUAAAAUAGAUCAUGUCCAAACGUUUAAAAUAAAAAAUAAAUAAAAUCAUAGUUAAUAUAUUUCAGGAAAAGUACAAAAAAUAUUAAAUAAUUUAUCGAAAACAGAUAAGAGGAUUUUAUUUCUUGUAAAGUGAUACACUGAUGUUUAAAAACUGUUUUUUUUUUCUUUCUUUGUCACUGGCUGAGGCUGGGGUAGAACCAUUAUCACAAUGUUUAUUCUGACAGGCUUUUAAUCAGUUCCUAUUUUCUUGGGCACAAUUCCUGUGUGAAAUCCCCUGUGAAUUGCAAAGUGUAAAAAGAUUUUGCUCCCUGAAAGCAGUCACAUCAAUACAAGAAUUAGUAAAGUGCGCUGUAAAAGGAGAAUUAUGGAACUGGUCUAUGGAUUGAGAAAAAAAAAAUCUUUUGCACAGCUGACUUCAUAUGAGUCAGCAUUUCUUAACAUAAAAAUACACAUUUGAGGCUUUUUGAGCUAAAAGAAAAGUAGUUGAGUGAAAUAAUAUGACUAAAAAUUAGAUUUAAACAAAGAAAAAAAAAUAACCUUGAUAUUACACUGGUAUUGGGACCUGUCUAUGUGAUGAUAGCUUAUUGUUGUUUGCCGUGGUUAAAUUGGUGUCUUUUUUUUUUGCAAUCACUCACAUAUCCAAGUCUCAUAUGUUCUGUUAUUGCCUAUAGGACAUCUCUACCACAGUUUCUUACCUGAUGUGACUCCAUACACUGAAGACACUGUGCCAGCAGUAGAUCACAUCACUCUUUAGUCAAGUGGGUUUGUUAAAGCAUUGAGGGAAUUCUGCCUUAAAACAGCCUGUUUUCUCUGACGGCACUACCUGUGACGAGUGGUAAGUCGCUGCAUCUUGGGGAUGUCAAACAUUUUUUUUUAAGUCGGUUUUGACUCAAAGCCCAUCCUGACACAAACAUGGAAGUGGUCACUCGCCUCUAUUUUCUUUGGUUACAAGGACCAAAAUGUAAACACACUCAGCUAACUGAGCAGUUUGCUUCAAUCAAGUGUUCAAUGAGAGCCUUUAAACUGUUCACAAUUAGUCAUAGGUAUUUUUGCACCACGGAUCUUUGUGUCAUGAACCUUGAAUUCCCAGCUACUCUGUUUAGUUUCAAUUCUGUUUGUACAUUCAUAAUCAUUCCUGAUAUAUUUCAGGAUUUGUAAUCAUAAUAAAAUCAAUACCCAUGUCUUUGUAUUAUUUUACUUUCAACGGUUCCUGUUUUUUUUUGUUUUGUUUUAUCUUUCUGUUUUAAACAGAGAUGUAAUUUCAAUUAGCGUUGGCUCGGGUCCGUUUCCCCUAAAUCGGGAUGAUAUCUCUCAUAGUGCUCCUGAACUCUGUAGUUCUCUAGUUCAUUAUAUUCUACUUAGACUAAAAUAAAGCACACUCCUGUAGAAAACG
RNA transcript from Oryzias latipes (Japanese medaka), 10311 nucleotides. It is a transcript of the gene named CUGBP Elav-like family member 6, with no coding region annotated. The record is from RefSeq and is a predicted model, not a curated record. Lineage: Eukaryota; Metazoa; Chordata; Actinopteri; Beloniformes; Adrianichthyidae.